RNAcentral lists this ribosomal RNA (253 nucleotides) under uncultured bacterium. RNAcentral describes it as "partial 16S ribosomal RNA". It matches the Rfam family "Bacterial small subunit ribosomal RNA", at positions 524 to 776 of the family's 1533-position model. The record is from RNAcentral.
UACGUAGGCAGCGAGCGUCGUUCGGAGUUACUGGGCGUAAAGAGUGCGUAGGCGGUGGCCCAAGUCUGGUGUGAAAUCUCCCGGCUCAACUGGGAGGGUGCGCCGGAAACUGGACUGCUGGAGUGCGGGAGAGGCAAGCGGAAUUCCAGGUGUAGCGGUGAAAUGCGUAGAUAUCUGGAGGAACACCCGUGGUGCAGACGGCUUGCUGGACCGUAACUGACGCUGAUGCACGAAAGCGUGGGUAGCAAACAGG